GUUUUGUAGAGGGAGUCAGGAGUUUAGUAAAGAGGUGACAGGUUUUUGUUGAGGGGGCAUUGUUUUUGUUGAGGGGGCAGGGGUUUUGUAGAGGGGGAAGGGAUUUUGUAAAGGAGUGACAAGGGAUUGUGUAAAGGGGUGACAAGGGGUUAAGUAGAGGGAGGACAUACGUUUAGUAAAGGGGGCAGGGGUUUUGUAAAGGGGUGACAGGUUUAGUAAAGAGGUGACAGGGUUUUUGUAGAGGGGGCAGGUGUUUUGUAGUGGGGGCAGGGACUUAGUAAAGGGGUGACAGUAGUUUAGUGGAGGGGUAACAAGGGUUUUGUAGAGGGGGCGCAAGGGUUUUGUAGAGGGGGCAGGGAUUUAGUACAGGGGUGACAGUGGUUUAGUAAAGGGAUAACAAGGGGUUUUGUAGAGGGGCAGGGGUUUAGUAAAGG
Molecule: non-coding RNA, 434 nt
Organism: Pelobates cultripes (western spadefoot toad)
Lineage: Eukaryota; Metazoa; Chordata; Amphibia; Anura; Pelobatidae
Source: the annotation of a GenBank genome assembly